This 460-nucleotide ribosomal RNA is filed under the name Streptococcus mitis. Its description in RNAcentral is "bacterial SSU rRNA". It matches the Rfam family "Bacterial small subunit ribosomal RNA", at positions 28 to 474 of the family's 1533-position model. Lineage: Bacteria; Bacillati; Bacillota; Bacilli; Lactobacillales; Streptococcaceae. The record is from RNAcentral.
GACGAACGCGGCGGCGUGCCUAAUACAUGCAAGUAGAACGCUGAAGGAGGAGCUUGCUUCUCUGGUGAGUUGCGAACGGGUGAGUAACGCGUAGGUAACCUGCCUGGUAGCGGGGGAUAACUAUUGGAAACGAUAGCUAAUACCGCAUAAGAGUAGAUGUUGCAUGACAUUUGCUUAAAAGGUGCAAUUGCAUCACUACCAGAUGGACCUGCGUUGUAUUAGCUAGUUGGUGGGGUAACGGCUUACCAAGGCGACGAUACAUAGCCGACCUGAGAGGGUGAUCGGCCACACUGGGACUGAGACACGGCCCAGACUCCUACGGGAGGCAGCAGUAGGGAAUCUUCGGCAAUGGACGGAAGUCUGACCGAGCAACGCCGCGUGAGUGAAGAAGGUUUUCGGAUCGUAAAGCUCUGUUGUAAGAGAAGAACGAGUGUGAGAGUGGAAAGUUCACACUGUGACG